GGAAACCGGAGACUAAUACCGGAUAAUAUUUUGAACCGCAUGGUUCAAAAGUGAAAGACGGUCUUGCUGUCACUUAUAGAUGGAUCCGCGCUGCAUUAGCUAGUUGGUAAGGUAACGGCUUACCAAGGCAACGAUGCAUAGCCGACCUGAGAUGGUGAUCGGCCACACUGGAACUGAGACACGGUCCAG
This 189-nucleotide ribosomal RNA is filed under the name uncultured Staphylococcus sp. Its description in RNAcentral is "partial 16S ribosomal RNA". It matches the Rfam family "Bacterial small subunit ribosomal RNA", at positions 152 to 334 of the family's 1533-position model. Lineage: Bacteria; Bacillati; Bacillota; Bacilli; Caryophanales; Staphylococcaceae. The record is from RNAcentral.